This 676-nucleotide unclassified non-coding RNA is filed under the name Hevea brasiliensis (rubber tree). The record is from RNAcentral. Lineage: Eukaryota; Viridiplantae; Streptophyta; Magnoliopsida; Malpighiales; Euphorbiaceae.
GGGUGGAUUGAUCAGGCAAGAGCUUGCCAAGCUGAAGAAAGAGAAUCCGGCCUAAAAGUUCUCAAUUCAAGUUGUCAAUUUUGUUAUCAAUAUUUCUCAAGUUAUUUUGGAAUGUUAUCCAUUUGGUUUCCUAUUCACUUAAGAGAUUGAUUACAGUGCAAGGGAACUUUCUAUGUAUGACCUUUUUGUAGUGAGUUUUAUUGUUCAACUUUAACUUUGACAGUAUUCUUAUGCUUUCUAAUUUUUAUGUUGAUUUUAUCGAGUAUUUAUCUUCUUCGGGCGCAUGUGAAAUCUGCAAUGCGUAGAGUAUUUCUGCUUGUCAGAUUAUUAAUUAGUAUUGUGGUGCAUUUUCUCUUGCUGUGCUUCAUCUUUAAAAUGAUUGAUACCCCGUGUUAGGAAUUUGCUUCACCAACUCUUGUAAAUGGUGUAACAAGUGCACGAAUUGAAGUACAAGUUAAAGCAGAAUAUUGUCAUGAGUAGAGUUUCUCGGGAAGAGGAUGCAUCAUUUGUUCAAUGUUUAUAUGAGCAGUGGUUAUUCAAUGUAAAAUUUUUGGAGUAUUCUAGUGGUUAUUUGUGUAGCAUAAAAUGCAAGCAUCCAAGGGAAGAAGUAGAAUGCUAUUAUAUAUGAAUACUCUGAAAUAGGACUUUUGUAGUUUAUGUUUAAAUUUUGUGUGAG